GUGCAACAGAGAGCAAACCGCCGAUGGCCCGCGCAAGCGGGAUCAGGUAAGGGUGAAAGGGUGCGGUAAGAGCGCACCGCGCGGCUGGUAACAGUCCGCGGCACGGUAAACUCCACCCGGAGCAAGGCCAAAUAGGGGUUCAUAAGGUACGGCCCGUACUGAACCCGGGUAGGCUGCUUGAGCCAGUGAGCGAUUGCUGGCCUAGAUGAAUGACUGUCCACGACAGAACCCGGCUUAUCGGUCAGUUUCACCU
This 253-nucleotide RNase P RNA is filed under the name Klebsiella pneumoniae. RNAcentral's name for it is "partial RNase P RNA component class A". It matches the Rfam family "Bacterial RNase P class A", at positions 109 to 367 of the family's 367-position model. Rfam says of the family: Ribonuclease P (RNase P) is a ubiquitous endoribonuclease, found in archaea, bacteria and eukarya as well as chloroplasts and mitochondria. Its best characterised activity is the generation of mature 5'-ends of tRNAs by cleaving the 5'-leader elements of precursor-tRNAs. Lineage: Bacteria; Pseudomonadati; Pseudomonadota; Gammaproteobacteria; Enterobacterales; Enterobacteriaceae. The record is from RNAcentral.